GGCCAGGUAGCUCAGUCGGUAGAGCAGAGGACUGAAAAUCCUUGUGUCGGCGGUUCAAUUCCGUCCCUGGCCACCA
RNAcentral lists this transfer RNA (76 nucleotides) under Gammaproteobacteria bacterium. Its description in RNAcentral is "tRNA-Phe". It matches the Rfam family "tRNA". From Rfam's summary of the family: Transfer RNA (tRNA) molecules are approximately 80 nucleotides in length. Their secondary structure includes four short double-helical elements and three loops (D, anti-codon, and T loops). The record is from RNAcentral. RNAcentral also lists the same sequence under 6 other names. Lineage: Bacteria; Pseudomonadati; Pseudomonadota; Gammaproteobacteria.